RNAcentral lists this long non-coding RNA (812 nucleotides) under Homo sapiens (human). Its description in RNAcentral is "LNC_000117". The record is from RNAcentral. Lineage: Eukaryota; Metazoa; Chordata; Mammalia; Primates; Hominidae.
CACCCAACUGCUUGAUACUCAGACCAGGGUCUAUGCUGCUGCUUGUCAACUUCAGAAGUUUAGCCUUUGUGCUAUUUAGGAAGUCUUCUUCAUCACUAAACUCAUCUUCAUUUUCGUCAUGGUCUGAUGAAUCUUCUUCACUUUUUUCAUCCUCUUCCUCUUCUUUUUCUUCCUCAAUGGCAACCUCACUUGCCUUGUCUUCCUCUUCCAAGUAAAAAUUUUUAUCAGCACUCAUUCCAGGAGUUGUGUCAAUUACAAACAAUGCAUUGUCACAUGACAGACUUCCUGUGUCUCCACUUAAUGACUCCCUUUGGCCACUAUUUUCAACAAAACAUAAAGUAUCCUCUUCAUUCUCACUGUUUUCAGACUGUUGGCUUUCAUCACUGCUGAGAACUAGUAAGACAGAAUUAUCUUUACCCUGAGAUGUGUUGGGCGCAGACGUGUAUAGUUUGGUAUCACAUUCAAAAUCUACAUUCCCUUCACUGUUCAUGUCUUCACUGACACUUAUAACUGUGGACUCUUCUUCAUCAUCACUACCACCACAAUCACCAAACUUUGUCAAGUCACUUGCUUUUAUGGGGCUCUUUUUGUUGUUAUUCCAUCUGCCUACUUCCACAGUUGCAAAUGUUUGAGUUAAUGAUUUCAUUACAGCCUCAGAGUUCAGAUUAGAGUGCACUGAUACAGCAUUUUUAUUUUGGGGGGUUGAAUGUCUCUGAGAAACUAACUGUUGAAGGCUAGUGUCCUGAAGUUCAGAAAGAUUCUUCAGCUGAGAACUUUUCUCAUUAAUUUCUUUCCCCUCAUCUGUUAUUCCA